CCUACGGGAGGCAGCAGUAGGGAAUAUUGCUCAAUGGGGGAAACCCUGAAGCAGCAACGCCGCGUGGAGGAUGAAGGUUUUCGGAUUGUAAACUCCUUUUGUUAGAGAAGAUAAUGACGGUAUGUAACGAAUAAGCACCGGCUAACUCCGUGCCAGAAGCCGCGGUAAUACGGAGGGUGCAAGCGUUACUCGGAAUCACUGGGCGUAAAGAGCGCGUAGGCGGGAUAGCAAGUCAGAUGUGAAAUCCUAUGGCUUAACCAUAGAACUGCAUUUGAAACUGUUAUUCUAGAGUAUAGGAGAGGUAGGUGGAAUUCUUGGUGUAGGGGUAAAAUCCGUAGAGAUCAAGAGGAAUACUCAUUGCGAAGGCGACCUGCUAGAACGUAACUGACGCUGAUGCGCGAAAGCGUGGGUAGCAAACAGGAUUAGAUACCCCGGUAGUC
This 440-nucleotide ribosomal RNA is filed under the name uncultured bacterium. RNAcentral describes it as "partial 16S ribosomal RNA". It matches the Rfam family "Bacterial small subunit ribosomal RNA", at positions 338 to 795 of the family's 1533-position model. The record is from RNAcentral.